UACGGAGGGUGCGAGCGUUGUCCGGAAUCACUGGGCGUAAAGGGCGCGUAGGCGGCGCGGGGAGUCAACGGUGAAAGCUCGGCGCUCAACGCCGAGUCGGCCGUCGAUACUCCCGUGCUUGAGCACUGUAGAGGCAGGUGGAGUUCCGGGUGUAGCGGUGGAAUGCGUAGAGAUCCGGAAGAACACCGGUGGCGAAGGCGGCCUGCUGGGCAGUAGCUGACGCUGAGGCGCGACAGCGUGGGGAGCAAACAGG
This 253-nucleotide ribosomal RNA is filed under the name uncultured bacterium. RNAcentral's name for it is "partial 16S ribosomal RNA". It matches the Rfam family "Bacterial small subunit ribosomal RNA", at positions 524 to 776 of the family's 1533-position model. The record is from RNAcentral.